GACGAACGCUGGCGGCGUGCCUAACACAUGCAAGUCGAACGGAAAGGCCCUGCUUUUGUGGGGUGCUCGAGUGGCGAACGUGUGAGUAACACGUGAGUAACCUGCCCUUUACUUUGGGAUAACUUCAGGAAACUGGGGCUAAUACCGGAUAGGAGCUCCUGCUGCAUGGUGGGGGUUGGAAAGUUUCGGCGGUUGGGGAUGGACUCGCGGCUUAUCAGCUUGUUGGUGGGGUAGUGGCUUACCAAGGCUUUGACGGGUAGCCGGCCUGAGAGGGUGAACGGCCACAUUGGGACUGAGAUACGGCCCAGACUCCUACGGGAGGCAGUAGUGGGGAAUAUUGCACAAUGGGCGGAAGCCUGAUGCAGCAACGCCGCGUGCGGGAUGAAGGCCUUCGGGUUGUAAACCGCUUUCGCCUGUGACGAAGCGUGAGUGACGGUAAUGGGUAAAGAAGCACCGGCUAACUACGUG
This 468-nucleotide ribosomal RNA is filed under the name uncultured bacterium. RNAcentral describes it as "partial 16S ribosomal RNA". It matches the Rfam family "Bacterial small subunit ribosomal RNA", at positions 28 to 507 of the family's 1533-position model. The record is from RNAcentral.